UUUUAAAAAUUUUAUCCAUUUGUAUUGUUAAAAACUGGCAUGGCUAAUAAUCAAGCAAUGAUAUGUGGCAUACCACGUGUACAUCAUGCUAACAUACAAUGACAAAUUUUUAACAACAACAAUGGAUAAUUUUUUUAAUA
Non-coding RNA from Gossypium hirsutum (cotton), 140 nucleotides. The record is from Rfam. NCBI's taxonomy places the organism in Eukaryota, Viridiplantae, Streptophyta, Magnoliopsida, Malvales, Malvaceae.